AGAGGGUGCAAGCGUUGUUCGGAAUUAUUGGGCGUAAAGCGCGUGUAGGCGGCUUUGCAAGUCGGGUGUGAAAGCCCUCGGCUCAACCGAGGAAGUGCGCCCGAAACUGCAGAGCUUGAGUACCGGAGAGGAUGGCGGAAUUCCCCAAGUAGAGGUGAAAUUCGUAGAUAUGGGGAGGAACACCGGUGGCGAAGGCGGCCAUCUGGACGGAUACUGACGCUGGGACGCGAAAGCGUGGGGAGCAAACAGGAUUAGAUACCCUGGUAGUCCACGCCGUAAACGAUGAGAACUAGGUGUCGUGGGUGUUGACCCCCGCGGUGCCGUAGCCAACGCAUUAAGUUCUCCGCCUGGGAAGUACGGCCGCAAGGCUA
Molecule: ribosomal RNA, 371 nt
Filed under: uncultured bacterium
Lineage: Bacteria
Description: bacterial SSU rRNA
Rfam family: Bacterial small subunit ribosomal RNA
Source: RNAcentral